AUGAAGUCUACCACUCCUAAUCAUCGGAAAUGCUGUGGUUUGGUCCUAUUUCCUCUGGGAUUGCUUCUGAGGAUGCUGUCUUCAUGCCAGCGGCAGGCAGUUGAAUCACAGGCCUUCACAGGACCACUGGACUUCUGGCAGCAAACAGGAAAUCGCUCCUUUCCCUCUGACUUCACUGAGCUGGAAGACUAUACGAGAGUGUUCUUUGUCCCACGAUUGGCGAAUGUUCUUUCGUUAGUGGUUCAGACACCAAUGCCAUUUCUUCAGAGCAUUGUCUACACCUGCAUAGGGUUUGUAAAGAUGAAAAAAAUGCAUGACACACAUCACCAAGAAUCAGGGGUUGUGCCUGGCAAUGCAAUUGAAAAAAGCUUUGGAAUGAACUCCCCCUGGGCAGUGUUCUCUGCCUUCUGUUACAGAAGACGGCAAAAAUAGGAGCCGGUGUACCUCUGGCCAAUUAUUCAAUGCUCCAUCACAAGGGGAAAUUCCUUCCUCACCCCAGCUGGUGAACAGUUAUGCCCUGGAGCCCAGGACGGACAUGCCUUGUAACUUUUUAACCUG
Molecule: long non-coding RNA, 558 nt
Filed under: Vulpes vulpes (red fox)
Lineage: Eukaryota; Metazoa; Chordata; Mammalia; Carnivora; Canidae
Description: lncRNA (ENSVVUG00000014032.1)
Source: RNAcentral